Molecule: ribosomal RNA, 207 nt
Filed under: uncultured bacterium
Lineage: Bacteria
Description: partial 16S ribosomal RNA
Rfam family: Bacterial small subunit ribosomal RNA
Source: RNAcentral
CAUGCAGGCGGUUAUACAAGUAGGAUGUGAAAGCCUGGGGCUCAACCUCAGAACUGCAUUCUAAACUGUGUGACUAGAGUAUUGCAGGGGGAGACGGAAUUUCAGGUGUAGCGGUGGAGUGCGUAGAUAUCUGAAAGAACACCAAAGGCGAAGGCAGUCUCCUGGGCAAAUACUGACGCUCAUAUGCGAAAGCGUGGGUAGCAAACA